GCUUGCUUUGGCAACACACAUACUAAAUUUGGAACAAUACUAGAAGAUUAGCUUGGUCUCUUGCAAAAGGAUGACCCACACAUUCACAAAGUAUUCCAUACUUAU
Suricata suricatta (meerkat) is the source of this 105-nucleotide small nuclear RNA. Lineage: Eukaryota; Metazoa; Chordata; Mammalia; Carnivora; Herpestidae. The record is from Ensembl.